AACUGGGGAAAUACCGGAUAACGCAUAUCUGCUGGAAUGCUUUAUGCGUAAAAUGGAUUUGUCUGCCCAAGGAUGGGUCUGCGGCCUAUCAGGUAGUAGUGGGUGUAAUGUACCUACUAGCCUACGACGGGUACGGGUUGUGAGAGCAAGAGCCCGGAGAUGGAUUCUGAGACAUGAAUCCAGGCCCUACGGGGCGCAGCAGGCGCGAAAACUUUACAAUGCGGGAAACCGUGAUAAGGGGACACCGAGUGCCAGCAUCAUAUGUUGGCUGUCCAGAUGUGUAAAAUACAUCUGUUAGCAAGGGCCGGGCAAGACCGGUGCCAGCAGCCGCGGUAA
This 336-nucleotide ribosomal RNA is filed under the name uncultured methanogenic archaeon. RNAcentral's name for it is "bacterial SSU rRNA". It matches the Rfam family "Archaeal small subunit ribosomal RNA", at positions 138 to 473 of the family's 1478-position model. The record is from RNAcentral. Lineage: Archaea; Methanobacteriati; Methanobacteriota.